GUCGGAGUUAGUUAUGAAUUAAGAAGAGAAAUUGAUCAAAUCGGAAAAUAAAAUGAAGUUACAUCACUACCGUCAUGAAGUUGCAUCGCUCCGACGUCAGGUGGCCUACGGCCAGAGCUGCGUGAAGUCGGGGAGUCACUACAGAGUCGUCGUGUCGAGCGGACGUGCACUGCCGUUAUAGUCGGGCAGUCUGCCGCGAACCUUCGUCAUGAACGGACGUGUCGAAUAAUUACGAUCGGAAAGUGGAGUGCUAUAGUCGCUCACCUAUAACUUGUAGGGACGUCAAGAAAGUGUGAUCGGAAAAGAGCACGUGUCCCGAUGAUUCGGUCCGAAUAUAGGAACCAUGGGUGGUGGAGGGCAAGUAGAGGGCGAGUAGCCCCUUCGCGCUAACGUCCUUAUGCGCGCUAGAUAACGAGAGACUGUGUAACCGUUACGAAUACCGUGACGUUGCCGUGAGUGUGUACCUUAUGCUGUGACUUUAUUUAAUCGUGAUACAAAAACUAUGUGGAAGUAAAUAAAAUGAUUGUGAUACUGAUGACGGCCAUUAUUGUCUUCUAACGCCCACUCUUCUAACGCCCACCCUCCAUUCUGAUGAUGUUACGACCGACAACCCCCACUGCUACGACAUCAGAAGUGGGAUUAGUGAACUUAUGAAGACAAUGUGAUGCGACGUUCACAACAAGACAAUGUAAGUUUGGAUUAUCACAAUCAGAAGAUUAUGAUGACUAUCACAUUCGUGUGACCACGUGAUGAAGAUGUAGUCUACAGCCAUGCCUGAAUUUGGAGAUGGACCUGAAUUUGAAGUGACCUGGACCUUGUUAAUGAUCGACAUCACUACAUGCCGUAAGAUAUGAUGGCGUGAACAUCACAAUAUGUCCAUACUGUGUGCAGUCGUGUUUGAAAAUUAUGGAACCUGAAAUUGAAAACUGUUAUUACGGUGAGUCGUUUUCAUACUGGAACCUUAUUGUUGUUGACUUUAUUGCUAUGUGAAUUUCCGUUUCUAAUAAUGAGGAAAUUGUUUUUUAAAAAAAACAAAAUUGACGAGACACAUUGUGUCAAUCCGUGUCAAUCACACCGCGUUUUCCAAUCUGUUUUCAUCAUCGUAAAAUCGUUGUAUUUUGGUCUAAAAAUAUUUCGAAUUGGUGUAGACACGCUUGACCUGCGUGGUUAAAGUUGUAUUUUCUCACUCCAAGCAAAAAGAAAUUAAUCAUGACAUGAUAAUUGUUUUGUAAUCUACCGUCAUUCGUCAAAUGUUUCAAUAUUCAACAUUCUUUAAUAAUCUUUUUAAACUGAUUGAAAGAAAGUCAUGUGAAUACGAUAAUACAGUGAAUUCUUUUGUUUCAUGUCAUAACUUGGUUCGGCAAUUGGUGGAUUGCAAGCGAGGAUGAAAAUGGCGCGGGCUGAGCCGUAGCCGUGUAAAGUGACGACAUCAUGGCAGCACGUUGUAUACCAGCCGGACUUACUGCGCUGGUGCUGUUGACGACCUAAACUAUGUCACAAGACCAGUGGUUGAUCUUUUAUUGGAAAUUCUUAUAAGUCCUGGUGAGUCGUAUCUGUUUUACCUGAUUUGAAAUAUGGGAAGUUGUAAUAAGAUACAAACGAACUUAGUGCAGAAAGUUCUCUUUUACUUUAGUUAAAUUGGAAAUUGUAAUGAAGUGAAGUAAACAUUGCGAAGUAAAAUUAUUUGGAUCAUGAUUAAAUGAAAUAGGCUUAGAAAAUGCCCGAAACAGAGUAAAUCAUUAGAAAGAAAAUUAGAGCAAAACAUUCUAAAUGAUGAUCAUACCAAAUCAGUAAUUGUGUAAGUGCAGUAAUAUUUCCUCAAGGUGUUGGUCGUUACAUUGUGACUUUAUGACUUGUGUGUGAGAGAGCCAGGGUGCUCUGUCGUUUUGUGGUCGUGGACCAAGGUGGCCAUCCCGGGAGGGGAUGUUGUGACUCAUGACUGUUUUGUAGCGUAACCGCAGUUUGGGGAGGAAUAUUACAGCCUGUUGUGCUUUGCAGUAGAUGUGUAAUGUUGGUUGAUUUAAUUGAGCAAUGAAAGCUAUGAUUGACCUGUUUCGGAGCAACUCUGAUAGGAAGCUGCGCACUUGUAGUGUUCGGGGCUGCAGCCACUUUUGUGCUGCUCGUCUUAGAAACUACAGGUAUGCGGUCGAGGCCUGGAUGUCAUGUUGACUUUGUAUUUGGUCAUGACAUUGUACCUGAAUCUAAGUCAAGUUGACCUCCGGUAGAAUUAGUCGAACUGCGCAAAUUAGAAAUUAGUGAUAUAAAAGAAAUUGUGUAACGCAUUGACCACUAUUCUACCAACUAAAAUGUAAAGUUUGUGUGCUAGCUGUGUUGAGAUAUCGUCACUUGGUGUAAGUGGCAUGAGUUGCUGUCGCUCGAUUUAGGUGGCAGUAACGACUGUGUUGGGAUAUCGUCACUUGGUGUAAGUGGCAUGAGUUGCUGUCGCUCGAUUUAGGUGGCAGCAACGACUGUGUUGAGAUAUCGUCACUUGGUGUAAGUGGCAUGAGUUGCUGUCGCUCGGUUUAGGUGGCAGCAACGACUGUGUUGAGAUAUCGUCACUUGGUGUAAGUGGCAUGAGUUGCUACCGCUCGAUUUAGGUGGUAGUGACGCCUGGUUGUGAGAUAUCGUCACUUGGUGUAAGUGGCAUGAGUUGCUGUCGCUCGAUUUAGGUGGCAGCAACGACUGUGUUGAGAUAUCGUCACUUGGUGUAAGUGGCAUGAGUUGCUGUCGCUCGGUUUAGGUGGCAGCAACGACUGUGUUGAGAUAUCGUCACUUGGUGUAAGUGGCAUGAGUUGCUACCGCUCGAUUUAGGUGGUAGUGACGCCUGGUUGUGAGAUAUCGUCACUCAGUAGAGUGGCAUGAGUUGCUACCGCUCGAUUUAGGUGGUAGUGACGCCUGGUUUUGAGAUAUCGUCGCUCAGUAGAGUGGCAUGAGUUACUAUCGCUCGUUUAGGUGAUAGUAACGACCGAUGUGUAAAGAGUAAUUGGAUUUUCAAGUUUGGUUGUUUAUAGUGUGUGAAUACUGGUCAAUGGUCCGUGUAUUGUUAGUUGAUGAUUUAUCAUGAUGUAAUGUGAGCUCAUGUAGAGUCACAAGUAGAGCUCGUGUAGAGUCACAAGUAGAGCUCGUGUAGAGUCACAAGUAGAGCUCGUGUAGAGUCACAAGUAGAGCUCGUGUAGAGUCACAAGUAGAGCUCGUGUAGAGUCACAAGUAGAGCUCGUGUAGAGUCACAAGUAGAGCUCGUGUAGAGUCACAAGUAGAGCUCGUGUAGAGUCACAAGUAGAGCUCGUGUAGAGUCACAAGUAGAGCUCGUGUAGAGUCACAAGUAGAGCUCGUGUAGAGUCACAAGUAGAGCUCGUGUAGAGUCACAAGUAGAGCUCGUGUAGAGUCACAAGUAGAGCUCAUGUAGAGUCCUUUAUAGAGUCUCAUGUUAGGUCAGGAAUGACCGAGCGAACUUGGAUACUGUGCUGUGGUAUAUUGUUUCAGAUUAACACACGAGGACGUGUGUCACGCAGGAUGGCCGUGUCGGAGUUAGUUAUGAAUUAAGAAGAGAAAUUGAUCAAAUCGGAAAAUAAAAUGAAGUUACAUCACUACCGUCAUGAAGUUGCAUCGCUCCGACGUCAGGUGGCCUACGGCCAGAGCUGCGUGAAGUCGGGGAGUCACUACAGAGUCGUCGUGUCGAGCGGACGUGCACUGCCGUUAUAGUCGGGCAGUCUGCCGCGAACCUUCGUCAUGAACGGACGUGUCGAAUAAUUACGAUCGGAAAGUGGAGUGCUAUAGUCGCUCACCUAUAACUUGUAGGGACGUCAAGAAAGUGUGAUCGGAAAAGAGCACGUGUCCCGAUGAUUCGGUCCGAAUAUAGGAACCAUGGGUGGUGGAGGGCAAGUAGAGGGCGAGUAGCCCCUUCGCGCUAACGUCCUUAUGCGCGCUAGAUAACGAGAGACUGUGUAACCGUUACGAAUACCGUGACGUUGCCGUGAGUGUGUACCUUAUGCUGUGACUUUAUUUAAUCGUGAUACAAAAACUAUGUGGAAGUAAAUAAAAUGAUUGUGAUACUGA
RNAcentral lists this long non-coding RNA (4056 nucleotides) under Pectinophora gossypiella (pink bollworm). RNAcentral's name for it is "uncharacterized LOC126374935". The record is from RNAcentral. Lineage: Eukaryota; Metazoa; Arthropoda; Insecta; Lepidoptera; Gelechiidae.